CUACGGGUGGCAGCAGUGGGGAAUAUUGCACAAUGGGCGCAAGCCUGAUGCAGCCAUGCCGCGUGUGUGAAGAAGGCCUUCGGGUUGUAAAGCACUUUCAGCGGGGAGGAAGGCGUUAAGGUUAAUAACCUUGUCGAUUGACGUUACCCGCAGAAGAAGCACCGGCUAACUCCGUGCCAGCAGCCGCGGUAAUACGGAGGGUGCAAGCGUUAAUCGGAAUUACUGGGCGUAAAGCGCACGCAGGCGGUCUGUCAAGUCGGAUGUGAAAUCCCCGGGCUCAACCUGGGAACUGCAUUCGAAACUGGCAGGCUAGAGUCUUGUAGAGGGGGGUAGAAUUCCAGGUGUAGCGGUGAAAUGCGUAGAGAUCUGGAGGAAUACCGGUGGCGAAGGCGGCCCCCUGGACAAAGACUGACGCUCAGGUGCGUAAGCGUGGGGAGCAAACAGGAUUAGAUACCCCUGUAGUC
RNAcentral lists this ribosomal RNA (464 nucleotides) under uncultured Klebsiella sp. RNAcentral's name for it is "bacterial SSU rRNA". It matches the Rfam family "Bacterial small subunit ribosomal RNA", at positions 339 to 795 of the family's 1533-position model. The record is from RNAcentral. Lineage: Bacteria; Pseudomonadati; Pseudomonadota; Gammaproteobacteria; Enterobacterales; Enterobacteriaceae.